Molecule: ribosomal RNA, 468 nt
Filed under: uncultured bacterium
Lineage: Bacteria
Description: partial 16S ribosomal RNA
Rfam family: Bacterial small subunit ribosomal RNA
Source: RNAcentral
GACGAACGCUGGCGGCGUGCUUAACACAUGCAAGUCGAACGGAAAGGCCCUGCUUUUGUGGGGUGCUCGAGUGGCGAACGGGUGAGUAACACGUGAGUAACCUGCCCUUGACUUUGGGAUAACUUCAGGAAACUGGGGCUAAUACCGGAUAGGAGCUCCUGCUGCAUGGUGGGGGUUGGAAAGUUUCGGCGGUUGGGGAUGGACUCGCGGCUUAUCAGCUUGUUGGUGGGGUAGUGGCUUACCAAGGCUUUGACGGGUAGCCGGCCUGAGAGGGGGACCGGCCAAAUUGGGACUGAGAUACGGCCCAGACUCCUACGGGAGGAAGAAGUGGGGAAUAUUGCACAAUGGGCGGAAGCCUGAUGCAGCAACGCCGCGUGCGGGAUGACGGCCUUCGGGUUGUAAACCGCUUUCGCAUGUGACGAAGCGUGAGUGACGGUAAUGGGUAAAGAAGCACCGGCUAACUACGUG